GACGGUGGGCGACGACGCAGCUAUGGUGGCGGAGCCUCUUCGAUCCUCGCACUCGCGUGGAACCUGUAGGAGAAGGAGGAGAAGGACGAUUGGUCGAGGGCUAGGGUUUCGCAGUGAAGAGAAGCGGAGGAAAGCAGCAGUGCUAGUGAGCAGGACGAGGGCAUACCCGGCGAUGUACGGCCGCGGGGGCAGGGUCCGCGGCGAAGAGUUGCGACCGUAGCCACGGCCCGAGGUUUUGCCGGCGAGGUCGUGCGGAGGGGAGGCGGUGGCAGCGGCGGUACCGGUAGCGGUGGCGUUGGUGGGGAAUGGUGGCGGAGAGGGCGAGGGGUUUUGGCGUGGGGUUUGGAAAUGGUGCGGUACGCGGGAGGG
RNAcentral lists this long non-coding RNA (369 nucleotides) under Sorghum bicolor (sorghum). RNAcentral's name for it is "long non-coding RNA (SBIC_LNC016418)". Lineage: Eukaryota; Viridiplantae; Streptophyta; Magnoliopsida; Poales; Poaceae. The record is from RNAcentral.